CUAUCUUGUAACUGAAUCCCUGUAUUUAUUUACUGACCAUGAUUAUUGCUAACUUGAGAAUGAAAUCAGACCAGAGUUAGAUGAAUGAGACAUAAACAAUAACAUCACAUAAUGGCAGGGGCAUUUAGGGUGAUUAAGACUCAGGAUAAAACAGAUGGGUUAACUACAAAUAUUGGCUUCUAGAUGAUGAUAAAUAGGAGACAUUGAAAGUUCAACAUGCAAAUAUAAUACUCCAUGUUUAAAUAUACCAUUGAAAUAAUACAACCUGAUUAUAGAUAAAUGUGAAACUCAGUCUUCACAAAUUAUUACAGUGGCUGGCCAGUUUUCCUGAACAGAGGCUUUACAGGCAAUAUAAAUCUUGGGAUAUAGUGACAAACUGAU
Molecule: long non-coding RNA, 381 nt
Filed under: Mytilus galloprovincialis (Mediterranean mussel)
Lineage: Eukaryota; Metazoa; Mollusca; Bivalvia; Mytilida; Mytilidae
Source: RNAcentral